Long non-coding RNA from Oncorhynchus kisutch (coho salmon), 1147 nucleotides. RefSeq lists it as uncharacterized. NCBI's taxonomy places the organism in Eukaryota, Metazoa, Chordata, Actinopteri, Salmoniformes, Salmonidae. The record is from RefSeq and is a predicted model, not a curated record. The transcript is spliced from 4 exons.
AUAGCAUUUCUUUCUCUUCCCUUUUUCCACAGCAAACAAAGAGGACUAUGAGGAGGAAUAUGAUGACUAUUCUACACAAACACCAGACUAUGACUACACCGCCACCUUCGAUUACACCUAUUUCAGUAACACCACCGGUCAUGAGGACUAUAGUUUGUAUGUAAUUCUAGGAGAGAAGAAGAAUGUGGAGGAGAAGGAUCUUGAGAAUAAGGCUUUAGCGAUUGGCUCCCCAUGCCCAGUGUUACUCCUCGGAUUGGCUGCUCACCAACUCCAUCGAUUACUGUGAAUGAAACCGAGCACUGCAGAACAUACAGAGAUAUACAGGACCCUGAACUGAGCAGAAAGUUACCCCAUAUUCUGGAAUUGGACUGAGGAGAAAGCUACCCAAUAUUCUGGAAUUUGACCUUUUUAAGGAUCAAAUGGACACAGCAUGAGAUUCUCCACCACUGACUUUCUAUACUAUAGUUGGAAAAACCCAUAGUGACUCCUGAAUCCUAACUUAUGAAAGAAGCCCACAACUUGAAUUCAUAAACAUCUCCCAUAAUAAUAUUUGCAUUGUAUGCACGUCUCAAGUUGUAAGAUCAAAUCAAAAUCACAUUUAUUUAUAAAGCCCUUCUUACGUCAGCUGAUAUCUCAAAGUGUUGUACAGAAACCCAGCCUAAAACCCCAAACAGCAAAGCAAUGCAGGUGUAGAAGCACGGUAGGAAAAACUCCCUAGAAAGGCCAGAACCUAGGAAGAAACCUAGAGAGGAACCAGGCUAUGAUGGGUGGCCAGUCCUCUUCUGGCUGUGAUGUGUCCCCUAGAGUAAUAAUAGCACAAAGCCAAUAUACCCCACGUAUUCCAUCUUGUUUGGACUUCAUACAAACUAAUAUGUAUAUUAUACAUGCUGUUUAUCUUUUAACACAUAUUUUCCAAGUAUGUUUUGUUUCUGUUUGAUAUUCUGUUAUGAACAUAUAAUGCUUUCUACAACCAUGGUACAUGUUUUCUCUUCUUUAUGGUCAAUGGUUAAUAGUCUAAGGUUUAAUGACAUGCAGAUGUGAAAUGAGGCAACCCAUGUAUUAGUUAUAGGGUUCUAAUUUCCUUCCCUGCCCUAGAAAAGCAUUUAAAGAGAAUUAUAUGUUAACAAUAAAACAGAGAAAUCCCCAA